GCUUUCAUGGCCCAUUGGUCAUCAGGGCAAUCGACAAAGGCGUAGCCAGAUUUCACCAAGAACUGGCCACUGAAGGAGAUUUUGUGGUCGUUGAAGACUUUCUCCAGAUCCGCCGGAGUCACGUUCUCGUUGAGGUUUCCAAUGUACAGCUUGUUCAUGGCUGAUGCGUUCCGCACAAAAUGUUGGAUACAUAUGUGCACAUCCAUAUUGCUGGAUUGUCUCCCUUAAUGUUCAAGUUGUUAGUAAAACUGGCAGAAGUCAUAAAUAUGGUGUGACCAUUGUAUACAACUGUUUUCUAACCUUACAUUCGCAAUAAACCGUUGUAAUAAAAUUGCA
Heteronotia binoei (common prickly gecko) is the source of this 336-nucleotide long non-coding RNA. RefSeq lists it as uncharacterized. The record is from RefSeq and is a predicted model, not a curated record. Lineage: Eukaryota; Metazoa; Chordata; Lepidosauria; Squamata; Gekkonidae. The transcript has 2 exons.